RNA transcript from Lolium perenne, 8314 nucleotides. RefSeq lists it as uncharacterized. NCBI's taxonomy places the organism in Eukaryota, Viridiplantae, Streptophyta, Magnoliopsida, Poales, Poaceae. The record is from RefSeq and is a predicted model, not a curated record.
GAUUUCAAUUUCAAUGUCGCAGGACACUCCACGAUGAACUGAAGAAAUAGUAUUUGAUCUAAAGUCUAGUUGAUUCGAUUGAUCAGCUAAUGUUUAAGGUGUUUGCACCGUGGUCGAUCUGAACGAUGGGCAAAACCGGUCGCCGGUCUCACGGCGAACUCGCCGUCACUCCCUCGCGUCACGCUUCGAGCGUCUCCCGGCUGAUUCGCCGUCACUCGCUCGCCGAGGUGGCCAUCGUGUCGCGCUUCAAGCAUCUACCUUCUUUUUUUUCCCCCAGCGGCGCCCUGUUCAUGUUCAAUCCGAACCAGGCAAUCAUCAAGAUUCCACCGAUCCGCAAACCUAGUCUAAUCCGAAACGGAAGGGAGGGCCUGGGUACUCGUUGUAUCAUCAUAGAGAAAAAGCCGAUUCCACCGCCCCCAAACCAAAUUCCUCCCACUUGUGGAGCAACUUUAUCUUCCCACGGCCGAGCUUUGAAUCCCUACCUAGCAGGAGGGAGCUAUGGUGUUGGGGACCCGGAACGUCGACCGCACCGACAGCGGCGGCAUCGACACCGGCGGCACCAGCUAUAUUGGCAGUGGCCUGUUCACCCGCCUCCUCCGCAUCUUCAGCCGCCGCGUUAGCGAGCCCCCCCGCGUAUGCAAGCCACACAUCUACGGGACGGGGCCCCUUGAUGACGAGGACGUCAAUCUUGGGUUCAGCGAUGGCACGGAUGUGUUGGAGAUGUGCUCGGAGCUUCUCGCCAGAAUUCAGAUCUGCUACCAGCAGGCUAAGGUCUUCAACGCCGCCGGCGGCUUCUGUUUCGGUCUCUUGGAUCCCCUCUCCAACAUCAUCGUCAACGCCUUCAUCGACAAUGCUGUCGUCGUCGAGACAGAGGAAGAUGAUGACCAGGCCACUUCUCUAUGGCAUGGACGACAGACUGAUGGUCAGAUCGAGGACCGGGACAUGAACCAGCGGUCGCUCAACGGCCUCGUCGCCUUCCUGGCCGGCCUGUUCCCCCACCUCAGCGACGUGCAGGCCCUGUGGUACCUCCACAAGGCCAAGGCCGACCCUCUCGUCGCCGCCCGCAUCAUCAUCAAGCACCGCCGGAUGGACCACAGCUUCAGGUUUGGUUCCGAUGCUACCACGGCAGCCGUCCAAACGGCUCUACGCUGCGCCGCCGCUGCCGCGGACCACCCCAAUCCGAGGCGGUUUCUUACAGGGUGGAGGAUACUUUCACCAAGUCUGAAUAAGCUUGCCGCCGUGCUAUCGCUGUCAGCCCCUGACGUGACCUCCAACUUGUUUGCGUCCAUGGUGUUGCUGCUCGAGGAAAAUCACGCACCAGCUUUUGACCUCGGGGGAUCCUGGGAGCUAGCCUCAUCUCGCCUCGUCACUCUCAGUCCAGACCUCGGAGGGGUGGUGUUUCCUGGGCAUACGACCAUGAAGCGUAUGCUUCUCACCACUAUCCAUGGAUACUACCUGCAGGCACUUGCCAGGCUGCCCAGGGACCUGCUCUGCUCUCAGCACCUGCUCUACAGCAUGAUGCACUACGGCCACUGCUUCGGCCCGCUUGACCCUGUGUCCAACAUCAUCUUCAGCACCAUCUGGUAUAGCUCAGCCUGCCCGCUUCCCUCGUCGAUACAAAAUUCCAAGAUGGUCAUGGUCAGCACCACCGCGAUGCUGAGGAUCGCUGUCCGGUCCUUCUAUGGCCUCGUCUCCUUCCUAUGCACCCGCUACGAUGCGCUCGCGGUCGAUCAAGCUAUGCAUCAUCUGCUGGAGGCUGGGGCUGACCUGCGAAUCGCUGAUCCCAACUUCCAUGGUAAUAACCGCGCUGCUGGAGGACACGUUCCGUCUGCCACUGUCCAAGAGGCCUAUGCUGCUGCGGCUGCUGCCGCACGCCACCCACAACAUCAAGCGCACAUUCUGCUUCUCCGACAAACUUCUUUGAUUUCACGGAUGGGCUCCAUUUAUCUCAAGGGCAGCGGCCCGCUCUCCCGGGAUGUUGUUGACCACCUCUCCAGUACUGCACGGCACUUGUCCUCAAGCCACUUCCAAGGUCUACUGCUGCCACUGCAAGAAACACCCAGGGUGUUGGAUAAGUUGACUUACAACAGGGUUAAUCAAAAGAGAGUAAGCUUCUGGAACCAGCAUGCUAGAGCUGUCACAAUGGUGAAAUCUGCAAUGGAUAUGUACAACAGUCAACCUGGGGUACCCAAAUAUGAACUUCAUGUUAUCUGCGGUGUCAAUGAGUACGUACAUGGCCCUGAGUACAUCACUGGCAACUAUCGGAAAUAUCAUCAUUCCCAUAUCAAUUUCCUCGCCACAUGCAAAGAAAGCCAAUCUGCUGGUGCUCGUCCAGUUCUCUUCUUUGCCCAGUGGAGCAACCAUGGCACCAAAGAGGAGUGCUUCUGCUUCCCUGUUGGGGUGCCACCUCUGAACUCGGAACAAGUCCGUUGUCUUUACUGUGAAUAUGAAGGGAGCAGGAUUGUGCAUCCUGCAAACGAGAGUUUCCACGGGCGUGAUAUUGAGUUUGAGAAGAUGUUAUGCGGGCGACUCUAUUCAGGAAACUACACCAACGACGGCAUCAUUGAACAUAGCUGCCCCUUGGCCUUUUGGGUACAUGGUCUGGCAGACGACUCCAUUUACUCUGUUGACCUUAUUGAUGAUGAUGAUAAAGAAGAUGGGGUGCAACCAGUGGACUUCCAAAGAUUGAUAAGGUUAACGUAAUAUUGUCACAUAGUACCGCCACUGAGCACUGUAUUAAUUCUACCCCAGAGUUAGCUAGUAUGCUAAAUACUUGUAUCUGAGCAAGAAGUAUUUGCAAAAUGCUCUGAUUAUUUCCCACUAAUGGUCUAAUGUUCUCGUUCUGGUUGGAUUUGGAAAAUAGGAUAUGAUGCUACUGUCGGUGUCAUUGUUGGGCUUGUUUAACCUGUGAACAUACGGGAAGCUGUCAAGUCACUAUGCCUUUUUUCAUAUCAUUGCAAGUGCAGUCUGAUCCUAACGUAAUAUAUAAUGCAUCUGUGGGAAAAGAAUUAGCAUGAGUUCUUAACCAAAGCGUCCUGCACCUACAGGUGGCAGGUUCACCAACUUUAGUCAGUUCAAAACCCGGAGACUUAUCUAGGCCCGAUAUAUCACUCAAUCCCUUAUGAUGGGAACACCCACAUCUCCUAGUAUGGUGCGUGACCUGCGACCAUCCUGAUUACCAUAUUUACCUUGCUAAUCUCUUGCUGGUAGUAUUAUUUUACCAAAUCGCUCGGCAGUCCCCUUAGUUAACAAAAUUCAAAUGCAGAUCCAUAGAGGUUAAUUUCCUGUGGAUAUCUCUUUCUUAAAUGUCUAUUUCCUCUUGUAUUUUAAUUUAGUGUAACUGAAUAUUUACAUACUUAUCUCCAAUCUAUAUUUGAGGAGAGGGAUGGACAUAUUAUUUUGUCCAGCCACGCCAUAUAUACAGGGCUUUUCCUAUGUAGGCGAUGUGAACUACAUUGUUUUGGCUUGGUCUUCAUUUUGCUCAAUGUUUGUGUGAUUCACUCAUGACAAUGCAUUUUAUUGACCUAUGAUUUUCCGAGCUGCCGAAUAUUCCAACCAUCGUAUCUACACAGGACGAUGUAGCGACAUGGUAUGAAUGAGAAAGGCCUAGUUCCCGCGUGUGCACCCACGUAGGAAAUUGCAGUGUUCUUGCUCUUGCAGAGAUGCUCUUGACAAAUAAGUACCCUGAUAGAAGUUGGUUCAGUUUCUCUCUAUCGAAGGGGCUUGGAAGUUAGUAGCAGUAAAAAAUCUAGCAAAAAUGGUCUCUGGUCGCUGAGCUCAUGUCUGAGUGCAAGUCAAUGCACUUCAGGCCCAGGUGUAUAUAUAUCACUGAUCUGCAGUUUUGGGCGGGAAACAAGAUCUAAUAACAUUGUAUUUAUUAGGCUCAAAACAUAGGAAGCAUGGCAACAAGGUACCUUUGCAUUUCUUUGCAUGUGUACAAUUUUGGGAUCUCUAAUUUUUUUGUAACGUCAAUUGAUUGUCAAGCAGGAACGAUACUAUGCAUAUGGAAGAGGUAACUUCUUCAGUCCUACAUGAAUUAAACAUUCUCUCACAGUAUAAUAUAUAAGUGCUGAACUGCAUUUUUUGUUGCUUACCUCAAAAUCUGAGCCAACCCAGUAGCAAGAGAUUCAAAUUUCUGAAAAUGGCUUUUUUGUCACCUGUUUUUGGUUGUUUUGUUUGUAGUAUGAUAUUGCCAUCUUUCAAAAUUUAUUUUGUAUUCGCCUAAUCAUGCUGCGAUGAAAUAUCAAACUAAAGAAGGCUUCGUAAAGAGCAGGGUUUUUAUGAACCUACGACGGUGGAGAGGGCACUAGACUGAACACUGAAAUAUGCUCAGCUCAUGUUAGACAUGCUGUCUCCUUUGUUCCCGAUAAGUAGUUUUUGAAUAAAUGAGUGAUAGCUGUUGCUAGCCCCCACGACAUGUGUGCUCAAAAUCUUGUGAUAAUUCAAUUUCAUUGUUUCUUGUCCAUAGAUGAUUUUUCAAUACGUACUAUUCUAACUUUGUCUACUUCCCACUUUGAUUUUAAGUACAUAGCUUUGAUUUAGAAACCUUUUCUUGCUGCUCGAUCCUUAGACUCAUAGUGGUUGCAUUUCUUCUUAACUAUAUAUCCUUCAUCUUAGUCAUUCUAUGAGCUAAAGGAUCAAUUUUGCAACUGCAAAAUAUUGGAAUCAGCAUUGGAAAACCAAGAGACAAAUCACGAGAGCCGAGAAAACUCUCAAAAGAUCUGGCAAGUGGCUAUAUAUCCUUAACAGGCACACUACAUAGGAUUGCUGCAUUGCCUGGAAGUCAGGUUGUUGUAAGUACAACUAGGAAAAUUGCCCGUGCGUUGCUACGGCCGAAAAAAAUUAAGCCUAGAUACAUGGAUAAUAAAUUAAUCUCCCAAAUUUUCAUAAAACAAAUUAAGAAAGUGAAUGGCAAUACCGGUCAGCUGUUGGAGAUCCACUGUGAACUGAACUAAGUGUCAUAUAGCAGAGCGUUAAAUAGACGGACUGAUUUAACACAACGGCAUAUAUUUAUUCUUUUUUUUGCGGGGCAACAUAUAUUUGUUUGAAAGUCCAUUGAAGCCACGUCAGUAUAUGCGAAACUUGCUCCCUUCUUGAUCAUUUGGUUUUGGACCAAACAACGGUGCUAUUUGCUUCUUGAUUUUGGAGGUUGAUGAGGAUAUUUUUCAGGCAACUUACGGACGUAUAUAAACAGGUUAGAUCCGGAGCGAGGUGGAACUUUUCAGUAAAAAUACCAUAGCUAGACAUAACCGAUCGGCCAGUUUUUUGUGGGCAGCUUCACUUCACCGAUUGGGCCACUCCGAUAUUUCUGUUAUCUUGGACUGGAUUGAGGUAUAUUUGUAGCUACAAAUUUCGAUCAUACAGGAUCCAAAUGAUCGUCAUGUUCGACGUAACUCCCACCAGGCAAUAAUAAUAUUGUGCAACUAAAACUCUUAAACCAGAAGUGCAUAUAAGACUUUGUGCGGUACCUCUAUUUGAUUCAGAGAUAACCAUCAAGAUAUGAUGCAGUUCGGAAUGAAUCAGCAUACCAGCAAAUGGCGGUAGCUUCUGAUUUUUUAUGAACUGAUAUAACAGGCACCACCAUAGCACCUAGCAUACAUCUAUCCCAAGGAAUUCAACAUUUUUUGCUUGCAAACAGCAGGUUCCAGCCCAGGAAAAAAAUGCGCACAUGCACUGGCCUCCUGCAUGCGCAAUCUCAAAACCUUCAACACCGAGCUCAGCUUGGGGAUUGUGCACUUCAGUAGCAAAGCCAACAUGUUGGUAAUUGAUGGAGACAGCUGUGCUCAGUCGAAUUGCGGGUAAAAAAAGAAUAAUUGGUCCCCAUGUUGUCGAUGCCCCCAGCGGGUCAAUCAAAUUCCCAGUACGGCAAGGUAACCGCCCAGUGCAGAGGAGGAUGAGCCGUCGCUGGCCAUGGCUAGCCAUGCACAUGGUGUGGCACUCCCAGCGUUAGACCCGAUUGAUUCAUCUGCUCUAGCAAGCCACGGAUUCUAAUCCACGUCGGCGAUUGCACAUAUGCUCCCGUCGACUCAAUCUGGAUGGAGCUGAGUUCUCGGGGGGAGACGGACGGCGCCGGGUCGUCGUUUUGCCUCGCGCUCAAUCGGCGCAUCCCUCCCUCGCCUCCAGCUUGGUGGAGUACUGGGACGGCAUCCAUGGCAGCGGACAUCUAGGAUCCAUGGCGGUGAUGAGCACAAUCAGUUGUCGGGAUCCAUCGCGGCGGAGACCGUGCGUCACCGGAUGAGGAAGAGGAAAUCACGGCUCGGCCAGUGCAAGCGAAAUAGGAAAUCGCGGCGGGCGUCUCCUCGAUUUUCGUAUGGGCGAGAUCCCGAUCUGAUUAGACUUCUGGAGCGGGAGGCGGAUCUAGAGGGUCUCGGUAGGGAGGAGAUAAAUAAUAUCCAAACUGAACCGGUAAUGGCAAUCUGCAGUAUUAUGCGAUUUGGUGGGAGGGUAAAAGCGUCCAAUAAAAAGUUGGACGAAAAUUUUGGCAGAAACCUUAGCUCCUUUAUUAUUAGGUAUAGAUUUGUUCAGUGCAUUUGACUGUCACAGGGAGGUUAAGCAGAAAAUAACAAGGUGGGAAAAAUGACGAGGGGCUAUGAUGUUGUGCUAUGGUGAAGAUGCUGAACUUAAGAUAUAAGGCAAACGAGAAUGGAUGGGAAAUCUGAAACCACUGAUUUGCACAAAGUUGUCAAUGGUGUGACCGUACAUUGAAUCAAAUUGAUCUUCCAUAUGGGGAACUAGCUGUAAGUUAUAUUGCAAUGGAAAAAAUGGAAAUCGUCGCAAGGUUCUGAUGUUAUUUUUGAAGCUUAUUACUAUGAACAAAAUACUAGAAAUUGCCACAUGUAUUAAAAUAGGUCAAUAUGGUUUUCAAAAUUUACUGUCUCUGCAAUUUAGCUUAUAUUGGAGUGCCUUAUUACUAGUUUAAAUUAGGGAAAUGCUUAGUUCACCCAGGGGAUCGCGCGACUCGCCGGUGCUACCGGAUUGGGAAUGGUGAAGAUGUGAACAGUUGGAGGGAUGGUUGGAUUCCCAGGGAUUACAAUUUGAGAGUAUCUCUGGGCAAAUCCAAUAUCAGAGUGCGAAAGGUUAGCCAAUUACUCAUUCCUGGAACAAACAGAUGGAAUGAGGAUCUGGUCUGAAAAGUGUGUCACCAAACAGAUGGUGAUUGGAUUCUGAACUUGAAACUUCUAGCAGCUAAGGGAAACGAUUUCUAUGAUCGACCGGGCACCUUCUCGGUUAAGAGUGCAUGCAAGCUGGCCUACAACCUCAAUAACGGUGUUAGAUGGCUUCCAGGUGGUAGCUGGACAAACAACAGCUCCAGACUAACAUGGAAGCCCAUUUGAUCCGCGAAAAUCCCGAGCAAAAUUAAGAUUUUCAGUUGGAGAGCUGCCUGCGACAAUGUACCGACUAAGAAGAAUAAAUUCAGAAGAACACUAGAGGCUGAUAGUAUCUACAGUAUACAUGGACAAGCAGAGGACAACAGUGACCAUGCUAUUGUGGAAUGCACCAAACUGAAAGCUCUCAGUUUUGCUAUGAUAUCAUAUUGGUAGCUACCUCCAGAAAAUAGUUCUGUUUUUUCAGGUCCUGAUUGGCUCCGGCUAUUGCUUGCAAACUGUAGCCAAAAUCAAAGGAACAACAUCCUCAUGUUGCUCCGGCACUCAUGGCAUUUGAUGUGUGAUAUCACGCGUGUCAAAGGAGAAGAAACUAUUGCCAAAUCUGUAUCUUGCCUGCUGAACUAUGACAUCCUUCUGAAGAACCGGGACCAAAUCCAUGACAAAGUAGGUAAUUACCCACCUGAUCCACCUGUACUUACUAACGUUUCUUGUUUGUAACCACAGCCAGGAUCUGAAUACGAGUACGCUGUGGAGGUCAAGCUCACAAAAUUAAUGUCAACGCGUUGUUCUAUACUGAGUUGGGCGAGGCAAGCUAGACGAGGCGAUUGGGAGAUGCCAUGAUGCAGAGGAAGCCGAAACCUUGGGUAUCCUGGAAGGCCUGAAGAUAAUAAUCGACCAUGACCUGAAGCCUGCGGUCCUGGAAUCCGACGCUCAGUUGUGCUAAAUGUUAACCGGGCGUCCGUUAACAGGUCUGUUAACAGGUCCAGUUCAUGGGCUAUUUACAGAGACAUUGCUGCUGCUAAUGCUCUGAUUCCUGAUUGUUAAGCCGUGAAAAUAGAGAGAAACAUCACUACAGUAGCACAUAAUUUUGGGUCCUUAGCAGUGUUUGGUCUCAGGCUCUCAGCCUAUCCCAGUCGCUAUUCAAGCUCUUGCUAUUCAUGAAAGUGUAAUGUUAUCUACGAGUAAUAUAUGAUUUUUCCUCCUUUGAA